AGAAAAUACAAGGGUAAGAAGAGGAAUCAUGUGGAAGAAGAGUAAACAUCUGAUGGUGUCCUGGGUAGCUGAAACUGUGGAAAGCAAAACCGUGGAUAAGGGGGAACUACUAUACUGAAAAUGUACAAAACAGAGAAGAUUUCAUUGAAGAAGUCUGCUGUUUCUGGAAUGGGAAAUUAAGGGAGAGGUUCGUGAAGAAGUGAUUGGGAAAGAGAGCAAGUCUUGGUUGGACAGUGUGAUUCAAUAGAAAUGUGAGGAGGAAAACUGCAAUUAUUUCUGAACCUUCCCAUCAGCCUUGUCUCUGAUAGAAUUGGCCUGUUGUGGACGGGCUUUGUGUAGAUUAGAGAAAGAAGAAGAUGCUCUUUUGGUGUAAUUGUUCAGUUCCACAUGGCCGGGGAGGCCUCACGAUCAUGGCAGAAGGCAAGGAGGAGCAAGUCACAUCUUAUGUGGAUGGCAGCAGGCAAAGAGAGAGCGAGCUUGUGCAAGGAGACUCCCAUUUUUAAAACCAUCAGAUCUCGUGAGACUUAUUCACUAUCAGGAGAACAGCAAGCUAAAUCAGUGUGAGACCAAGGACCCUGGGGCUCCUCCAGUCAUUGCAGCUGUAUCACAACUACCCUGACAGAUUUCUUGCUCAGGGCAAGCCACCUGCCAUGUCUUGAGAACACUCAAGCAGCACAUGGCGAGGAAUGGAGAUGGACAGACAUGGGCCAGCAAGAAACAGGCUUGCCAACAACAGCUUGCGUGAUCCUGAAAGUGGGUCCUCUAGCCCCAUGUGACUGUUGCCCUGGCCAACAACUUAACUGCAACCUCAAGAGAUACCUACCCUGAGUCAGAACCACCCAGUCAAACUACCCCUGGCAUCUUAACUCAGAGUAACUGCCCCGUUGACUGGAGGAUGGCCAUUUGACAACACAUUAUUUCCUGAGGAAACUUUUGACUUCUGGUGACUUGGGCCCCAGGCUGGCUGAAUUUGCCAAGACCCGGCUUUGCCCUUGCAUGUGUGAAAAAUGGCCUCAAGUAUGACCCCAUGGCAAGAUGGAAAGAAACUGUGCUCUUGAAUAGCUUAGAGAUUCAGAGCCCCCCAACCAGCUUGAAACGCCCACCUCAAAACAAUGACAUGAGAAGAAACAAACCUCUAAUUUAAGCCACUGUCUUUUUAAGAGCAUUGUAGUUUGAGAUCUCUUUCUUUCAGCUGUUUAGUCCCCAGCUAAACACUUACUGACCUUAUCUUACAGGUCAAGAAAAAUGAAGUUCUGGGGUACAAGUCACUAAUGUAUUAGAAAUUUUCCAGCUCUCCCUCCUUGCCCAGCAGAGUAUAUUUCCACUCAAACACAAUGAACCCAUUUGGAAUGGGACAAAACAAAAUGGGGUGGGCCUGGAACAAGAGAAAGUUCAGCUACACAGGAUCCAGGUCAAAACUCUUUAAUCCUCCCAUUUCUGGAUUUCAAAUGAACACCUUUUUGUCUAGCAGUUCUCCUCCAGAGGUUUGCUUUCCCACAACAGCUUGUCAACAGUGUAAGAAGUUCAAAAAGAACUUUUGGGGUUGCACGUUGCAGGUUGUGUGGCAUCAUCCCAGCUUGUCUCAACACCUCUGAUGAACAGUAGCGGAAGAAAGGACUCUUUCCACAUGAGUUCCUCGGCGGUCCCCGUCUCUUAGGGAGUUUAUAAAAAAAUCCAUCAUCUUGUUCUACUAAACCCAAGUAAAUAUAAUUAACACCAAA
RNAcentral lists this long non-coding RNA (1721 nucleotides) under Homo sapiens (human). Its description in RNAcentral is "long intergenic non-protein coding RNA 2889". Lineage: Eukaryota; Metazoa; Chordata; Mammalia; Primates; Hominidae. The record is from RNAcentral.